This 5184-nucleotide long non-coding RNA is filed under the name Triticum aestivum (bread wheat). RNAcentral describes it as "long non-coding RNA (TAES_LNC011022)". The record is from RNAcentral. Lineage: Eukaryota; Viridiplantae; Streptophyta; Magnoliopsida; Poales; Poaceae.
CCAAAUCAUGGCUGACACCGACAGCAAGAAGAUCGAUCUACCAGACGGGCUAUGCGUUGAAAUAUCUCCUGACGGUUGUACAUACCACGAUGGUCUUUGCUUCCAUUGUUUGGUAACUGACGUCUACUACCCCACUAUGGAUGACUGCAAGAGCAAUUGCAACAAAUCCUCGUCUUUACAAGACGUGCUAGUUGCCAUGACAACCUCCCCUCCUCCUCCUUUAUCUGCUCCUUAAUUUUCCGGCCUAGACAAUGGUUAUAUGUACAAGAUUGUCCCCUGAAAAUAAUGCCUAUGUGCGGAAACCAGUUAUGCAAUGCGAGUAAUAUACUGCAGCAGUUGUUGCUGAGUAUUUUGGUUUGGCAAAUCACAUUUGAACCUUUACUAGGAAUUGUUGGGAGAGCGAUGAAAUGACUCGCAAGCGCAGAUGCUCCGGAAAUCCGAGUGGUACAGCUUAGCUUGGGAUCUGUGUCGGUUAAAUCUGUGUCACAUAUACGUUUUAGAAUACAGAGGUGAAUACAUCUGCAGAUGGGCUAUACUGGACCAUAGUACUAACUCCUCGCAAAGUCGCAAGUCUCCUCUCUUCAAGUCCAUCGAUGUCCCAUGCAAAAUAAAAUGAAAUAAGUCCAUCGAUCUCUCACUUAAAAAGAGUCCUAUGGCUAUGGAUGACCAGGGAGGCCGCCCUUGGCCAAUAUCCGGCGCCGGUGAGUUCGUCUACCCUGUCAUGGUGGGUUUCUCAUCUAUCCUACCUCUCAUGAGGCGUCCGGUUCUUGUCUUUCCCAAGCUCACAUUAAUAUUCCCAAAUCAGCCCUCGGCCGGCCUUGGCGACAUCAUCUUCAUCCACUCCCGUGCUGCACACACCCAUUUCUCUGAUCUCUUAAAGCAACUCUAGCCGAGCCCAUAAAAGAUACAGGAGUAUUUGGCCGGGUAAACCUUAAUGGAGUAAAUUUAGUCCACUAAGUUUUGGUCGGUUCUAGCUGAUCCCCUAAAUUUAGCGGAGUAAAAUAAAAUUUGGUUAAGAUGAACAUAGAUUCGAUCUAAAUAAACUUCUAAACCGAAAUUCGACACGUAAUUUACAUUAUCAUCCGUCGAAACAUAGUUCAAAGUGAUACUAAAACUUGAACUCAAACAUAAGCUAAAAUCUAAAUCUAACCAAAAAAAUUAGUCGCUAUUCGACUUUGCGAGGGAGAGCAAGUCCUCCCUAGAGAUUCCACCGCCCAUGGGGUCAGUCCCUAGGUCGUCUUCGUUGUAUCCAGGAAGGUCCUUCACCACUCCUCGAUGUUGAAGCUGUCAUCGUUGCCGCCUCCACUGCCACCAUUGUUGCCGCCUCCACCGAGCCAGCUCGUCAUCGACCAGCGCCCACGUGCAUCUAGGGAUCAUACAUUCAACAGGGGGUGACUCCAUGAGUCAGGUGAUCCACAAAAACCGCAUGACCUAGAGUCCGCCAUAUGGCUGUGUGCCCCAACAUCAUUUGUUGGUAAAGAAUGUAUGGAUAGAUGCCAAAGGAACAGCCUCACGUUUCCCGGCACCAGAACUUUCCAUAAACUUUUCCAUGAGCCCUCUUCAGCAGCCGAGGUGGAGGAACCAUCCCUUUGAUCUAAGCAUGACUAUUGGAGAAUUAAUUACAAUUCUGAAAUAUACAAAUAUAGACAUAGGAGAUAAGUCCAACCAAAUUUGGGAACUUGUCUAAAAAGGGAGAAAAUUAGUCUGACUUGAUUUGUGCUUUUAAUGAGGGUUCAUAAUAUAGGAUGAUAUUAAAUAAAUCCAAUUUUAUUGCUUGAUGGUUUACACGGGAUAAGGAUGACCGGUUCUCUCUUCUCUCAAUAUAUACGAUCGACUCAUGUGCUCAUUGGUAACCAAACAUUUCUCAUCGACAACCAAAGUGACCUGAGAGCUUGCGUAGCUACUGUUGUAUCUGGUUGGCCAUGGACAAGUACACGAUUCGCAUCCUUGCACUAGGAGCCCUAGUGUGUCUACAUCUCGUAUGCUCUGCUACUGUUGCUCAAUGUAAGGCAGCUAGCACACCCAUAUUUAUGUAUCUUCACAAUGCUUAAUUUUUCUUCACUUGUCCUGGCUGGAAGUAUGUACCUAGUAUAGCUAUCAAAGGCCUUUCUAUUUUGCUUCGUAACUGGUUCCAUCGUUUAUAUGCAUAUAUAUACAUACACACUACUCUAAAAUAAUUGCAUAACGAUGGUUGUUCGUUUGUUAUUAUUCCAUAAUAUACAGGCCAAAUCAUGGCUGACACCGACAGCAAGAAGAUCGAUCUACCAGACGGGCUAUGCGUUGAAAUAUCUCCUGACGGUUGUACAUACCACGAUGGUCUUUGCUUCCAUUGUUUGGUAACUGACGUCUACUACCCCACUAUGGAUGACUGCAAGAGCAAUUGCAACAAAUCCUCGUCUUUACAAGACGUGCUAGUUGCCAUGACAACCUCCCCUCCUCCUCCUUUAUCUGCUCCUUAAUUUUCCGGCCUAGACAAUGGUUAUAUGUACAAGAUUGUCCCCUGAAAAUAAUGCCUAUGUGCGGAAACCAGUUAUGCAAUGCGAGUAAUAUACUGCAGCAGUUGUUGCUGAGUAUUUUGGUUUGGCAAAUCACAUUUGAACCUUUACUAGGAAUUGUUGGGAGAGCGAUGAAAUGACUCGCAAGCGCAGAUGCUCCGGAAAUCCGAGUGGUACAGCUUAGCUUGGGAUCUGUGUCGGUUAAAUCUGUGUCACAUAUACGUUUUAGAAUACAGAGGUGAAUACAUCUGCAGAUGGGCUAUACUGGACCAUAGUACUAACUCCUCGCAAAGUCGCAAGUCUCCUCUCUUCAAGUCCAUCGAUGUCCCAUGCAAAAUAAAAUGAAAUAAGUCCAUCGAUCUCUCACUUAAAAAGAGUCCUAUGGCUGUGGAUGACCAGGGAGGCCGCCCUUGGCCAAUAUCCGGCACCGGUGAGUUCGUAUACCCUGUCAUGGUGGGUUUCUCAUCUAUCCUACCUCUCAUGAGGCGUCCGGUUCUUGUCUUUCCCAAGCUCACAUUAAUAUUCCCAAAUCAGCCAUCGGCCGGCCUUGGCGACAUCAUCUUCAUCCACUCCCGUGCUGCACACACCCAUUUCUCUGAUCUCUUAAAGCAACUCUAGCCGAGCCCAUAAAAGAUACAGGAGUAUUUGGCCGGGUAAACCUUAAUGGAGUAAAUUUAGUCCACUAAGUUUUGGUCGGUUCUAGCUGAUCCCCUAAAUUUAGCGGAGUAAAAUAAAAUUUGGUUAAGAUGAACAUAGAUUCGAUCUAAACAAACUUCUAAACUGAAAUUCGACACGUAAUUUACAUUAUCAUCCGUCGAAACAUAGUUCAAAGCGAUACUAAAACUUGAACUCAAACAUAAGCUAAAAUCUAAAUCUAACCAAAAAAAUUAGUCGCUAUUCGACUUUGCGAGGGAGAGCAAGUCCUCCCUAGAGAUUCCACCGCCCAUGGGGUCAGUCCCUAGGUCGUCUUUGUUGUAUCCAGGAAGGUCCUUCACCACUUAUCGAUGUUGAAGCUGUCAUCGUUGCCGCCUCCACUGCCACCAUUGUUGCCGCCUCCACCGAGCCAGCUCGUCAUCGACCAGCGCCCACGUGCAUCUAGGGAUCAUACAUUCAACAGGGGGUGACUCCAUGAGUCAGGUGAUCCACAAAAACCGCAUGAGCUAGAGUCCACCAUAUGGCUGUGUGCCCAAUAUCAUUUGUUGCUAAAGAAUGUAUGGAUAGAUGCCAAAGGAACAGCCUCACGUUUCCCGGCACUAGAACUUUCCAUAAACUUUUCCAUGAGCCCUCUUCAGCAGCCGAGGUGGAGGAACCAUCCCUUUGAUCUAAGCAUGACUAUUGGAGAAUUAAUUACAAUUAUGAAAUAUACAAAUAUAGACAUAGGAGAUAAGUCCAACCAAAUUUGGGAACUUGUCUAAAAAGGGAGAAAAUUAGUCUGACUUGAUUUGUGCUUUUAAUGAGGGUUCAUAUUAUAGGAUGAUAUUAAAUAAAUCCAAUUUUAUUGCUUGAUGGUUUACACGGGAUAAGGAUGACCAGUUCUCUCUUCUCUCAAUAUAUACGAUCGAUUCAUGUGCUCAUUGGUAACCAAACAUUUCUCAUCGACAACCAAAGUGACCUGAGAGCUUGCGUAGCUAGUGUUGUAUCUGGUUGGCCAUGGACAAGUACACGAUUCGCAUCCUUGCACUAGGAGCCCUAGUGUGUCUACAUCUCGUAUGCUCUGCUACUGUUGCUCAAUGUAAGGCAGCUAGCACACCGAUAUUUAUGUAUCUUCACAAUGCUUAAUUUUUCUUCACUUGUCCUGGCUGGAAGUAUGUACCUAGUAUAGCUAUCAAAGGCCUUUCUAUUUUGCUUUGUAACUGGUUCCAUCGUUUAUAUGCAUAUAUAUACAUACACACUACUCUAAAAUAAUUGCAUAACGAUGGUUGUUCGUUUGUUAUUAUUCCAUAAUAUAUAGGCCAAAUCAUGGCUGACACCGAUAGCAAGAAGAUCGAUCUACCAGACGGGCUAUGCGUUAAAAUAUCUCCUGAUGGUUGUACAUACCACGAUGGUCUUUGCUUCCAUUGUUUGGUAACUGACGUCUACUACCACACUAUGGAUGACUGCAAGAGCAAUUGUAACAAAUCCUCGUCUUUACAAGACGUGCUAGUUGCCAUGACAACCUCCCCUCCUCCUCCUUUAUCUGCUCCUUAAUUUUCCGGCCUAGACAAUGGUUAUAUGUACAAGAUUGUCCCCUGAAAAUAAUGCGUAUGUGCGGAAACCAGUUAUGCAAUGCGAGUAAUAUACUGCAGCAGUUGUUGCUGAGUAUUUUGGUUUGGCAGAUCACAUUUGAACCUUUACUAGCAAUUGUUGGGAGAGCGAUGAAAUGACUCGCAAGCGCAGAUGCUCCGGAAAUCUGAGUGGUACAACUUAGCUUGGGAUCUGUGUCAGUUAACUCUUUGUCACAUAUACGUUUUAGAAUACAGAGGUGAAUACAUUUGCAGAUGGGCCAUACUGGACCAUAGUACUCAGUACUCGCAAAGUCACAAGUCUCCUCUCUUCAAGUCCAUCGAUGUCCCAUGCAAAAUAAAAUGAAAUAAGUUCAUCGAUCUCUCGCUUAAAAAGAGUCCUAUGGCUGUGGAUGACCAAGGAGGCCGCCCUUGGCCAAUAUCCGGCACCAGUGAGUUCUUCUACCCUGUCAUGGUGGGUUUCGCAU